AUACUCUGGUUUCUCUUCAAGUUGCAUAAAUCUUUCGCCUUUUACUAAAGAUUUCCGUGGAGGGGAGCAGUUACGAGUCUCGACCCAUUUUUGGAGGCCCUGCUUUGGCAGGGCU
RNAcentral lists this small nuclear RNA (115 nucleotides) under Crocodylus porosus (Australian saltwater crocodile). Its description in RNAcentral is "U5 spliceosomal RNA (ENSCPRG00005000868.1)". It matches the Rfam family "U5 spliceosomal RNA". From Rfam's summary of the family: U5 RNA is a component of both types of known spliceosome. The precise function of this molecule is unknown, though it is known that the 5' loop is required for splice site selection and p220 binding, and that both the 3' stem-loop and the Sm site are important for Sm protein binding and cap methylation. The record is from Rfam by way of RNAcentral. Lineage: Eukaryota; Metazoa; Chordata; Crocodylia; Crocodylidae.